CGGCCGCAUCCCGUUGUAAAACCGGUUCCCGUACGAUUACCGAAGUUAAGCAAUGUCGAUCUUGGUCAAAACCUAGAUGGGGGACCGUUUGGGAAUACCAGGUGCUGUAA
This is a non-coding RNA of Acanthosepion pharaonis, 110 nucleotides long. Lineage: Eukaryota; Metazoa; Mollusca; Cephalopoda; Sepiida; Sepiidae. The record is from the annotation of a GenBank genome assembly.